UACAUAGAUAUGUAUGGCGCGGGGCACCGUAUUCAUAGUCAAAAUAAAGUCCACACUUAAGUUAGUUUGAGCUUUUUGGCAUAACUUUCAAUGGAAUAUCUG
Rhagoletis zephyria (snowberry fruit fly) is the source of this 102-nucleotide long non-coding RNA. RefSeq lists it as uncharacterized. The record is from RefSeq and is a predicted model, not a curated record. NCBI's taxonomy places the organism in Eukaryota, Metazoa, Arthropoda, Insecta, Diptera, Tephritidae.